CCUACGGGGGGCUGCAGUAGGGAAUCUUCCGCAAUGGACGAAAGUCUGACGGAGCAACGCCGCGUGAGCGAUGAAGGUUUUCGGAUCGUAAAGCUCUGUUGUUAGGGAAGAACAAGUACCGGAGUAACUGCCGGUACCUUGACGGUACCUAACCAGAAAGCCACGGCUAACUACGUGCCAGCAGCCGCGGUAAUACGUAGGUGGCAAGCGUUGUCCGGAAUUAUUGGGCGUAAAGCGCGCGCAGGCGGUCUUUUAAGUCUGAUGUGAAAUCUCGCGGCUCAACCGCGAGCGGUCAUUGGAAACUGGGAGACUUGAGUGCAGAAGAGGAGAGCGGAAUUCCAUGUGUAGCGGUGAAAUGCGUAGAGAUAUGGAGGAACACCAGUGGCGAAGGCGGCUCUCUGGUCUGCAACUGACGCUGAGGCGCGAAAGCGUGGGGAGCGAACAGGAUUAGAUACCCCUGUAGUC
RNAcentral lists this ribosomal RNA (465 nucleotides) under uncultured bacterium. RNAcentral's name for it is "bacterial SSU rRNA". It matches the Rfam family "Bacterial small subunit ribosomal RNA", at positions 338 to 795 of the family's 1533-position model. The record is from RNAcentral.